Molecule: RNA transcript, 4716 nt
Organism: Xyrauchen texanus (razorback sucker)
Lineage: Eukaryota; Metazoa; Chordata; Actinopteri; Cypriniformes; Catostomidae
Gene name: actin-binding LIM protein 3-like
Exons: 22
Source: RefSeq, a predicted model, not a curated record
UCCACUGCAAGCAAACGACCAAAAUAGAACUUGUUUGAUCAACGAAGCUGUCUUCGCCGCGCCGCUUAGUACGCUCGCGUCGCAAGCAGGGUAGAUUAGGUGUGUGGAAACACGCUGCUGUCUGGCCCUGACGUCACGCCAGCGAGCACUUCCAUAGAUGUGAGCGCGAGAGUACAAUGACAGCGCCUCGUCCACUGUUCCCAACCAACCCUGAGUGCCGCUCAACAAUCUCAGGCAUAUACACGAGAAACAGCAGCAGAGCGUAGAAUGUGACAAGACAACAUCCCGCUUUAUUGCAACCCGUCAUCCGCCCUACACUCAACUAACAUUUUCAAACGGGUUGCAGGACUUCAAACGCUACAUCCUGUGUGGAAAAGCUCACCGUUGUUAUUAUUAACCAGGUAUUCAUUGCCCUUUUGUGGUCCGGGAAUAACAUGGGGACAUUUUUGUAAAAAUGUUUUGAAUUCCUCUCUAUCGGCUCGAAUCGGACAUAUGCUGGAUAACUGGAUUUGUUUGGGGGGGUGAAACAAAAGACAACCUCUGCUGUCUAGAUAUUCAGUUUUACUCUUGGAUUAUUGUUUCAGCAUCAUGAGCACGAGCGUAGUACCCUAUCAGCAAAGCUCCAGCAGCAGUGAACGAAGCUCUGGAUCAAUCCACUGCUAUCGUUGCCGGGAGGUUUGCAAAGGGGAGGUGGUACGAGUGCAAAGUGUCCACUUCCACAUCAAAUGUUUCACCUGCCAAGUGUGUGGCUGUGACUUGGCACACUCUGGAUUCUUCCAGAAGAGUGGUGAAUACAUCUGCACAACAGACUACCAGCGGCUGUAUGGCACAAAAUGUGACAGCUGUGGGGACUUUAUCUCAGGGGAGGUGGUCUCUGCUCUGGGACGCACAUAUCAUCCACAGUGUUUUGUCUGCAGCGUGUGCAGUAAACCUUUUCCAAUCGGUGACAGGGUGACGUUCAGAGGCAAAGAAUGUGUCUGUCAGCAGUGCUCCCUCAAGCUGGUUAAUUCCAAUGAGCCAAUAAAAAUCCAGGGGCCCAGUCACUGUGCAGGAUGUAAGGAGGAGAUCAAACAGGGUCAGUCACUGCUGGCGUUGGAGAAACAGUGGCACGUCAGCUGCUUCAGGUGUCAGACCUGUGGCCUGGUCCUGACAGGCGAGUACAUCAGCAAAGAUGGCAUUCCUUACUGCGAGUCAGAUUACCACUCCCAGUUUGGGAUAAAGUGUGAAACUUGUGACAUAUACAUCAGUGGACGAGUGCUGGAGGCCGGAGGAAAGCACUAUCACCCCACAUGUGCUCGUUGUUCCCGGUGUCAGAUGAUGUUUACAGAGGGAGAGGAGAUGUACCUCACAGGUUCAGAGGUGUGGCAUCCUGUGUGUAAACAGACGGCACGCGCAGAGAGGAAACUGAGACUCAGGCGCACAUCUGAAACCUCAAUUUCUCCACCAGGCUCCAGCAUAAAUUCACCUAGCAGGGUCAUCUGUGCGAAAGUGGAGAACGAGAUCCUUGAUUACAAAGACUUGGCCGCGCUGCCUAAGGUUAAAGCCAUUUAUGAGUUGCAGAGGCCAGACUUCUGGUCCUUUGAGCCCAGUCACAGAUACUGCUCCGAUGACAGGCUAGAGCACCUCAGCUAUGGGGAGUCCUUGGGCACACUCUCCCCUUACUCUCAGGACAUGUAUGACAGUAUGGAUAUGAGGAUGAGACAAUCCUCCAGUCCAGGAUACAUAGACUCUCCCACCUACAGCAGGCAGGGCAUGUCUCCCAUCAUGCCACGCUCUCCACAACACUACUACAGAUACGGCACUGAGAGUGGCAGAAGUUCACCCUAUUGCAAUCAGCUAGAUGCCCGGCCCAGCACGCCCACCACAAACCAAGCUCCCAAGCAUUUCCAUGUGCCAGCCUCAGGAGAGCCCAACAUCUACAGAAAGCCUCCCAUCUAUAAGAGACAUGCUACUAAGAGCAAGACCAGUGAGGACAUUGUCCACUCCUCCAAGUUCCUAACAGCCUACCCGCCUGAACACUACCAGCACUCAGAGCCUGAUUACUUCAAUUAUACCAGCUCUCCUAAAUCUUUACGUGCCACACGAAGAAGAUACUCAUCAGGUGGAGAAGAGGAUGGUUGGAGUCAUGGUCUUCACAGAAUUCAGGGUGGGAUUGGCAGGAUGAUCUUGAAGGAGGAGAUGAAAGCCCGCUCUGGUUCCUAUGACAACGACCCCUGGGGUAGUGCACGAAACUCCCGCAGUGGGAGCAGGGAGAUGUUGCACAGCAUGGGCCACAACAGCACAGUUAAUGGCACUCCUCUGACAAACUUUGCCGCUGAAAAUGACUACAUUUCCAAAUCAGCAUCUUUACCAGGAUAUGGCAGGAAUGGAUUGCAUAGGCCACAAAGUACCGACUACUUUCAGUAUGACAGUAGCAGUGAAGUCAACUGGGCAAUCAGAGCAGAGUACAAGGUAAGGGGAGUUGGUUCAAAUUUACCAGAGCAUUAAAGAAGGUCCAGAGAGACAAUAAAGCAUCCCGGUUCAGAGACACUCUUGAAACAUUAGCCUACUGCUGACUCCAGAGGAAAACUCAGAUUUACAGUAUGUGAGUCUAAUGAACCCUGAUAGGUCAAAACAACAUCCUGCUGGUCAAAGCAUGAAACUAGAGUCUGGUGAAAUCAGUACUUCCAGGUCAGAAGUUGUACUCCCCAGCUGGCCCUUAGUGGGUCGGGGACAACAGGAUAGCCAGAGGCCAUGGAGCAGUCAGGUGUUUUUUUGACCUCUGUGCUCUUGGUUGGGUGAGAACUAUAUUGUUCUGUAUGGUGCCGCUUCCUGUCUAUGUUACAGCUACUGUGCCAGAUGCUCUGAACCUUAAAAAAAAGGGAUUUCCUUUCGUUUCCAUAAGUGAGAGGAAAAGGUGGUCCACCAAUGCACAGACAGCUCUGAGAACAUUGCUUAGAUUUCCAUUAGUGAUCAAAGAAAAGCCUGUUAUUGUUAUCAAAUAAGCAAGACAAACAGAAAUGAGAUUAAUAUUUUAAAAAUGAAUUAAACAUGUUUAGGCUUAUACAUUUUAAUGUAUAAAAUUAGAUGCAUUGCUUCUCUUUCACCACAGAUUUACCCAUAUGAAGCACUUAUUGUGACCACUAGAGGGCGAAACAAAUUGCCAAAGGAUGUAGACAGGGCCAGAUUGGAGCGACAUCUUUCCCCUGAAGAGUUCUAUCAAGUGUUUGGGAUGACAAUAACAGAGUUUGACCGGCUGGCACUGUGGAAGAGGAAUGAGAUGAAGAAACAAGCCAGGCUGUUCUAGUGUGCCUCCCCCACACACCCAGAGACCUGAAUACCUGUUUCAGUAUAACUAAACAAACAAAUCCUGUGUCUCAGACCUAUAGUAAUGCCUGGGCUGUGCCGAGACAUUGUGCAACUCUCCUGUUUGAUGGGGCAUAUAAAUAAUUACACAGUCUAGAAUACUUGAAAAAGAAAGACCGAAAACAAAAUACCAUGGUGGGAUCAUUUACUUGAGUCAAGUGGUUCUUUGACACGUUUUUUAUUUAGUUUCUGAGUGACAAAGAUAAAAAAAGAAAUAAAAAAAAACAAUCAGGAAUAGGAAGGAUUUUUGAAUAAUGCCUUAUGUUCUCACUUCAUUUAUGCACCAGCAAAGUGAUUGAUCAGAAUGUAGAUACACUUAUAUAGUCACUAUUAUGUGAGUGGAUGGAUAGUCUGACAUUAUCCAUCUUAAGCUCCAAAAUUAAACAUGCAUAUUAUUUUGAAAUAUUUAAUUUUAUUUUUUCAGUUCUUUUAUUUCACUGAUCUAUAAGGACUACAAAAGCUUAGAAGUGGUGAAAUCAUAAAUUAGCGAUGAUUUGCUCGACAAUGAAUACCAAAGUCUGACUGUUAUUUGUAUAGUAAGCAGAAGACAUUGAGCACUAUUCAGUGCUGUACUUUGUUCAGGUCAUUUUCAAAGAAAUAAAAAAUAUUGAAUGUACACUUUUUAUUCAAAAAGACUUUAGGAUUAUUAGACUGUAAUGCUGAACCAUACAUUGGAUAUUGUGAUGGUAGAGAUAUGUACAGUAUAUGGCUUAUGUUAGAUAUAGACCAUAAAGAAGAAACCGAUACUACAAAAGGAUCAUGGUGCAAUUUUAUUUUUAUUUUAUUUUUCAGAUGUUAUGCUCUUGGAAAAGAUUCUGUUUAAGAAUAUUUAACAUCACCCCUGGUACAGAGCAGAAAAAUGUGAUACAUUAAAAGAGGUUUAGUAUCUUUUUGGUUCAUGCCAAGGCGAUUCCUGUGUUAUCAAAUGAUCUGAUCUUAAGUUAUGAUGCAGAUGAAGUACAUAUGGAUUGUCUGGAAAAUGAAAAGGACUAUAUGACUGAAAUAUACAUCUGACCAAUGCAACUAGUAACAUAAUAACCUGUACAUGUGAUUAGGACCUAACAAUAUCUAUGGGGUCUUUCAUACCUAGAGAUAAUGUCAGCCUCAACUGAUUACAGUAGUUUUGUACCUCACUGACAAACAGGUACAACCAUCAUGGUUUCUGCCUUUGUGUGUAGUGUUUACAACCUGUUUGCCCAAUAGAUGAAGUAUUCUAUUAAUUUCAUAGUGAAGAGAGCUAGAGUAUAAUGAUCAUAUUUUUGAUUCUCUCUUUUUUUAAAAUCACUACUACUUCCUUGCUAACUUUAUCCAUCUGUCAGUUUCAACAGAUGAUGUACAUGUUACAUUUAAAUAAAAGUUUUGUUUUCUUGU